Molecule: ribosomal RNA, 1142 nt
Filed under: marine metagenome
Description: SSU rRNA
Rfam family: Eukaryotic small subunit ribosomal RNA
Source: RNAcentral
CCUGGUUGAUCCUGCCAGUAGUCAUAUGCUUGUCUCAAAGAUUAAGCCAUGCAUGUCUCGGCAUAAACCUACGUAUGGUGAAGCUGCGAAUGGCUCAUUAGAACAGUUGUGGUUUAUCUGGUACUUGAAAGAUAGAUGGAUAACUGUGGUAAUUCUAGGGCUAAUACAUGCGUAAAAACCGGACUUCGAGGAACGGUUGUACUUAUUAGACAAAGAACUAAUCCGUUUCGGCGGCAUUUAGAUGAAUCAUAAUAAAAGCAUGGAGCGUAUGACUUGUGUCGGCGCUACACCAUUCAAGUUUCUGACCUAUCAGCUUUCGACGGCAGGGUAUUGGCUUACCGUGGCAUUGACGGGUAACGGGGAAUUAGGGUUCGAUUCCGGAGAGGAAGCCCGAGAAACGGCUACCACAUCUAAGGAAGGCAGCAGGCGCGCAAAUUACCCACUCCUGACACAGGGAGGUAGUGACAAGGAAUAGCAAUGCAGGUGGCAAUUGCCAUUGUGCUAUUGGAAUGAGUGGACUUUAAAUCCCUUUUCGACUAUCGAUUGGAGGGCAAGUCUGGUGCCAGCAGCCGCGGUAAUUCCAGCUCCAGUAGCGUAUAUUAAAGUUGUUGCGGUUGAAAAGCUCGUAGUUGGGUUUCUGCGGAGGAAGCGCGGUCCGCACUUGGUGCGUGUAUCUGGUCUACCUACGCAUCUUCCAGUGAAACGCUACUGCGCUUUAUUGCGUGGCGCGGCAAUCUGGACUUUUACUUUGAGGAAAUUGGAGUGUUUACAGCGAGCGAUUGGUUUGAACAUAUUAGCAUGGAAUAAUAACCUAGAACCUUGGUUCUAUUUUGUUGGUUUCUAGACUAGGGUAAUGAUCAAUAGGGAUAAUUGGGGGCAUUUGUAUCAACACGUCAGAGGUGAAAUUCUUGGAUUGUGUUACGACGAACCACUGCGAAAGCAUUUGCCAAGGAUGUUUUCAUUGAUCAAGAACGAAAGUAUAGGGAUCGAAGACGAUUAGAUACCGUCGUAGUCUGCACCGUAAACUAUGCCGAUUAAAGAUUGGAGGUCGUUCUUAUUGUGGCUCCUUCAGUAAUUUAUGAGAAAUCAAAAUUCUUGGGUUCCGGGGGGAGUAUGGUCGCAAGGCUGAAACUUAAAGGAAU